GAUGAACGCUGACAGAAUGCUCAACACAUGCAAGUCUACUUGAUCCUUCGGGUGAAGGUGGCGGACGGGUGAGUAACGCGUAAAGAACUUGCCUUACAGACUGGGACAACAUUUGGAAACGAAUGCUAAUACCGGAUAUUAUGACUGGGUCGCAUGAUCUGGUUAUGAAAGCUAUAUGCGCUGUGAGAGAGCUUUGCGUCCCAUUAGUUAGUUGGUGAGGUAACGGCUCACCAAGACGAUGAUGGGUAGCCGGCCUGAGAGGGUGAACGGCCACAAGGGGACUGAGACACGGCCCUUACUCCUACGGGAGGCAGCAGUGGGGAAUAUUGGACAAUGGACCAAGAGUCUGAUCCAGCAAUUCUGUGUGCACGAAGAAGUUUUUCGGAAUGUAAAGUGCUUUCAGUUGGGAAGAAGUCAGUGACGGUACCAACAGAAGAAGCGACGGCUAAAUACGUGCCAGCAGCCGCAGUAAGACCUGGACUGCC
RNAcentral lists this ribosomal RNA (485 nucleotides) under uncultured Fusobacterium sp. RNAcentral's name for it is "bacterial SSU rRNA". It matches the Rfam family "Bacterial small subunit ribosomal RNA", at positions 28 to 536 of the family's 1533-position model. Lineage: Bacteria; Fusobacteriati; Fusobacteriota; Fusobacteriia; Fusobacteriales; Fusobacteriaceae. The record is from RNAcentral.